AUUGAACGCUGGCGGCAGGCCUAACACAUGCAAGUCGAGCGGAUGAGAGGGGCUUGCUCCUCGAUUCAGCAGCGGACGGGUGAGUAAUGCCUAGGAAUCUGCCUAGUAGUGGGGGACAACGUUUCGAAAGGAACGCUAAUACCGCAUACGUCCUACGGGAGAAAGUGGGGGAUCUUCGGACCUCACGCUAUUAGAUGAGCCUAGGUCGGAUUAGCUAGUUGGUAGGGUAAAGGCCUACCAAGGCGACGAUCCGUAACUGGUCUGAGAGGAUGAUCAGUCACACUGGAACUGAGACACGGUCCAGACUCCUACGGGAGGCAGCAGUGGGGAAUAUUGGACAAUGGGCGAAAGCCUGAUCCAGCCAUGCCGCGUGUGUGAAGAAGGCCUUCGGGUCGUAAAGCACUUUAAGUUGGGAGGAAGGGCUCAUAGCGAAUACCUGUGAGUUUUGACGUUACCAACAGAAUAAGCACCGGCUAACUUCGUGCCAGCCGCCGCCGUAA
Molecule: ribosomal RNA, 500 nt
Filed under: uncultured bacterium
Lineage: Bacteria
Description: partial 16S ribosomal RNA
Rfam family: Bacterial small subunit ribosomal RNA
Source: RNAcentral